Molecule: long non-coding RNA, 625 nt
Organism: Prionailurus viverrinus (fishing cat)
Lineage: Eukaryota; Metazoa; Chordata; Mammalia; Carnivora; Felidae
Exons: 3
Source: RefSeq, a predicted model, not a curated record
UUUCAGCUAAGAAGGGCUGUUAUGUCCUCAUUCUGCGGGGAAGGGGAGCAUGCAUAUUAGCCUCAGAAAUAGCAUUUAUUCAGCACCUAGUAUGUGCUUAGCUCUGCACGAAGCAAGUCUUGGGGAGAGCUAGGUGUGCAGAAGUCUACAAUCGUGAGCACCACAACCAGAAGAGUGGAGAGCUUUCAGCAGGUGGGACCCUUCCGGAUCGCCAGAGGGUCCAGUCCACCCAACACUAGUUGAGCAUCUGCGAUGUGGCUCUAGCUCCCAAGGAGCUCCUGGUUGAGUGGGAGGGAGAGAGAGGAAACGGCAACUGGGAUCAGACAAUGGGAUUUUGAAGGAAAACAUGAGAGGCUGAUAUUUCAGUUGUGACACGGGACCUUAGGACAAUCUUCUACGCUUCCUCACCGCAGAGGGGCCAGCCAUCUCUCGAAGCCCUUCAGCACCUGCUCGUCUUCUCUGAAACUUAAAGAUGGAACCUACAGAUUUCUGGAGCGACCACGGAAGGACAAAGCACACCCGGAAGCGUGAGUGUUGCCUUGUGGAAGAAGGGAAGCCAGUGUUAAUAGCACGAACAUCGGUGUCAGCCAGACCUCGGUUCAAGUCCAGCCCUGUCUCUCCUUGA